RNAcentral lists this ribosomal RNA (252 nucleotides) under uncultured bacterium. Its description in RNAcentral is "partial 16S ribosomal RNA". It matches the Rfam family "Bacterial small subunit ribosomal RNA", at positions 524 to 776 of the family's 1533-position model. The record is from RNAcentral.
UACGAAGGGGGCUAGCGUUGCUCGGAAUCACUGGGCGUAAAGCGCACGUAGGCGGAUUGCUAAGUCAGGGGUGAAAUCCUGGAGCUCAACUCCAGAACUGCCUUUGAUACUGGCGACCUUGAGUCCGGGAGAGGUGAGUGGAACUGCGAGUGUAGAGGUGAAAUUCGUAGAUAUUCGCAAGAACACCAGUGGCGAAGGCGCCCACUGGGCCGGUACUGACGCUGAGGCACGAAGGCGUGGGGAGCGAACGGG